CCCUUAAUAGACAUAGCGAUAGCCCUCCUUCAGACAUGAGGAAAAGUAGACUUUCAAUAUCAAAAGCAGUUGGGGAAGACGCUGCCUGAAGGGUGUGCAGGCUAUAUAAACAGGAAAGGAAACACAGGCAGGGAGAGGCUGAGUGCCUUUCCCCAGGUCAUGAGCCAGAACCUUGGCAGAGCCAGAAAUAGCACUCGGGUUUCCUGAGCCCCUCCAUCCCACGGCACACCUGGUGUCCCACGCAGUUCGCCUGCAGACAUCAGUCUCAGCUUAGAGACACCCUUUCAGACAUCAGUGCAUCUGGAAAACAGAGCAGCAGCAGCCUCACAGGAGCAGCAUCUUUACUCUUUUCAGGAACUGAAGUUUUAGGAGAAAGUAUUGGGACAAGACAUAUUAUACAACAGUGGUGAUAUUUUAAUAUUCUUCACUCCAAAUCAGUUGUCUAUCCUUUCCUGGAUAGCAUUUAAAGGAUUUGUUCUUCACUGUAAACUCAUAGUUUCUCCUCCCACGUACUAGGCUAUUUUUAAUCAUUGGACAACAUCAUCACAAAGUCUAGUUAUAUGUCUGCUAAAAAAAAGCUCCCAUUUUAAUCACUAAUAAACCAAAAAUCAUAGCACAAGAAGAAAUCACUCUGCUAGACAAACAUCAAACACAAUAGACAGCAUUAUUGUUUGCCCUUUCCUGUGAACAGUGGAGACUUGUCACCCUGGAAGUCAUUCUUAGUUAAGCAACUGAAGUACAGAAAUACUCAUUCUCUUUAUAUUCCAUGUGAUAACAACUGCAUUAUCUGAAAACAGUGCUUGGGCUCCCAGGUCUGUUAACCCACAAGCAAAAUUCAUCAGUUGAGAAUGAGAUGGGUAUUCAUUCUUCUUGGCCCUUUUCUACCAGCAGAGCAGUGCUUGGGUUCCUUAAAAAGCUCAGAAAAUCAAGAGUGCAGGCAGUGGUGUCUCAUUCAAGAGCAGUGUCUGCGUCAUUCCCACCCAGCAGCACAUGCACUCGGUGCUCUAUUUCAUACCCCCAGGACUGUCUGGCUGUGUUAAUGCAAUAAGUAGGUGUUUCAGUUUCCUUGUUUCUACUAUAGCAGGAUUUGGGGGAGGGUUUGAAUUUUAACCUAGGGAAAUUUUAUAUAAUUUUUUUUUCUUGAGCCUCUGGGCUGCUUUCUCUUCCAGAGGGAGCAUACCUUAGCAAAACAAAAUGCUUCCUCCCUCUCUUCCAGGUUUGAGCUAAUUACACAUCCACAUUACUCAGUAUCCACAGGCUGCUACCUCUCUUUGCAGUAACAAUAGUCACAUAAGAACCAAAACAUGUAACAUUUGUGAAUGCACCCUGCCUCAGUACAUGCAGCCAUGCACCACCACAACCACACCAGUAUUACUGGGAACAUGUCCUACUUCGUGCCAUCUUGUGCUACUCUGCUUCUGCCUCCACCCUGUACAUUCCCACCCUAUGGCUGAAGCCAAUUUACUUGUAAAGCCUCCAAGCCCUAGGAGCAGGCUGCUGUCACCUGCUUCCCAUGGUCUUUCAGCUCCUUGGUCCUUGAGGUUUAAUCAUCAAAGCUGAGCUCUCCUGGUCAUGUAGCAGAAGUGGCACAGUCUAGGCUACCACCUCCCCACCAGAGUGGGGCAGGGGGAGAGGACAGCAAAGCAUAGCUCUGUGCCCAGCUCCAGCCUUGCACUGGGCAAAGGAGAAGGAACCAGGCAAGGGAGAGGGGCACCAGGCAAGGGAGAGGGGCACCAGACAAGGGAGAGGGGCACCAGGCAAGGGAGAGGGGCACCAGGCAUGCCAGGCAGGCUGCAGCCUGGGGAGGAGCAGGGGAAAGGCUCCUCUCAUCCCAUUUCUGUUUUGAGAUGCGUUGCUGUCAUUUGGCAAAAUCUUGCUAUUCUCCUUGAAAACCAGGCUCCUCUGGGGCUGAAGAAGGAAGGGCCAAAUAUUUUGAUGAUGCAUGUGGGGCCUGGAGUAAAGCAAAGUGAAUUAAUAACGCUACACCUGGGCACUGAGUGCACACACGGCCUAUUAUUCGGGGGCUGCGAGCCAAAUGCCAUUAACCUCCGAGGCAGAUCAUUAUUAGACCAUAACACCCAACCUGUCAUGUAUCCUUGUUUCAUUAACACAGUUCUGGAAAGCCUCUAAUAAAGUCAGGGAAACUGUUGCCUCAAAAUUAGCAGAGAUUACAAGAUCUUCCAUGUGGAUACCAAAGAGAAGAAAAGGAAGUUCAUGACAAUAAUUUUAAGGGCAUUAGAGAUAACUGUGAUAACUUUGCUUCUGAUCUAAAGCCCACUGAAGGCAGUAAACAGGCUCCUAUCCUUUUCUUCUGAAACAGAUUUUAUUAUUAUAAAUAUGAUUCUCCCCAACUCAUUUCUUAAAUUAAAUUAGAGGUUGCCCAGCCCAGAAGAAACCUGUAAUGCAUAUGCCAAAAUAUUUGCAUGGCUGACAAGCUCUGUCUUUGAAUCUUCAUGAAAGGCAUAUAAUUGUGUUUAAUGCAAUUUAUUUGUCAUUAAAGAAAUAAGCUUUGAUCCAAACAUCUUUGCAACAGAGAUCCAAAGAAACUAGAUUCCAGGUCUAUUUUAAAGCCAUGUGCACUUAACAUUCAUUCCUUUCCUUAUCUGAUUAGGAAAUUUAUUCCCUAGUAGAUUAUAAAAAUAUAACAAGAACAACAAAAGGUUAUACUUACAUUAAUUUAUUAAUGUAUUGUAACUCAUGCCUGGGCUAGUUUGCUGUUAGACUAUUUAUUGUUUUAAGAAGGCCCAUUUCCACCCAACUGACACAAAAAAUCUUCACAACAAAUAUUAUUGACUAUUCCAUCCCCCAACAAUUUUAGAUAGCAUCUAACCAAGUAGGUUUCCAGUGUUUCAAUGGAUCUCUCAAUGGCAGCUGACAGAAAUUCCCAGAAAUGCAACUGAGGAAAGAAGGACAAUGAGAGUUUUGAAAACCUUUAACUGAAACACUUCUAUGAAUUAUUUUAAUGACAGUGGCAGCUUGUCUGCAUUUAAGCAUCUAUGCAACAUGUGCAGGGCCAAUGUGGUCACGGUACUUCUGUCCACAGGGGAGGAACAAGCUACUGGUUUGGAGGUUUUCUAUGUAGGUUUAUUUUUUAUCUUGUUUUUGGUGCAAUCCAGAUAUGAACAAAUUAAAUGCUCCAGAAUGUGAUCACUUAAAAAAAAAAAAGAGAGAGAGAGAGAAAAAAACAACAGCUCCUGCUACAAAAACCCAAAAAACAAACCAACACAAAAA
Molecule: long non-coding RNA, 3231 nt
Filed under: Taeniopygia guttata (zebra finch)
Lineage: Eukaryota; Metazoa; Chordata; Aves; Passeriformes; Estrildidae
Description: lncRNA (ENSTGUG00000028413.1)
Source: RNAcentral